This 439-nucleotide ribosomal RNA is filed under the name uncultured bacterium. Its description in RNAcentral is "partial 16S ribosomal RNA". It matches the Rfam family "Bacterial small subunit ribosomal RNA", at positions 339 to 795 of the family's 1533-position model. The record is from RNAcentral.
CUACGGGACGCAGCAGUGGGGAAUAUUGCACAAUGGAGGAAACUCUGAUGCAGCAACGCCGCGUGGAGGAUGACACUUUUCGGAGCGUAAACUCCUUUUAUAUAGGAAGAAGAUGGCGGUACUAUAUGAAUAAGCGCCGGCUAACUCCGUGCCAGCAGCCGCGGUAAUACGGAGGGCGCAAGCGUUACUCGGAAUCACUGGGCGUAAAGAGCGUGUAGGCGGAUUAAAAAGUCAGAAGUGAAAUCCUAUAGCUUAACUAUAGAACUGCUUCUGAAACUCUUAAUCUAGAAUAUGGGAGAGGUAGAUGGAAUUUCUGGUGUAGGGGUAAAAUCCGUAGAGAUCAGAAGGAAUACCGAUUGCGAAGGCGAUCUACUAGAACAUUAUUGACGCUGAGACGCGAAAGCGUGGGGAGCAAACAGGAUUAGAUACCCGUGUAGUC